This 918-nucleotide ribosomal RNA is filed under the name uncultured archaeon. RNAcentral's name for it is "bacterial SSU rRNA". It matches the Rfam family "Archaeal small subunit ribosomal RNA", at positions 1 to 922 of the family's 1478-position model. The record is from RNAcentral.
UUCCGGUUGAUCCCGCCGGACCUGACUGCUAUCGGAUUGGUACUAAGCCAUGUGAGCCGUUGUAGCAAUACAAGGCAUACGGCUCAGUAACACGUAGUCAAUCUAACCUAUGGACGGGGAUAACCUCGGGAAACUGAGGAUAAAACCCGAUAGAUCAUAAUGCCUGGAACGGUUUAUGGUUCAAAUAAUUCGUUGCCGUAGGGUGGGACUGCGGCCUAUCAGCUUGUUGGUGAGGUAAUGGCCCACCAAGGCUAUUACAGGUACGGGCUCUGAGAGGAGAAGCCCGGAGAUGGGUACUGAGACACGGACCCAGGCCCUAUGGGGCGCAGCAGGCGAGAAACCUUUGCAAUGUGCGCAAGCACGACAAGGCUAAUCCGAGUGUUUCCUGUUAAAGGAAUCUUUUGUUAGUUCUAAAACCACUAUUGAAUAAGGGGGUGGGCAAGUUCUGGUGUCAGCCGCCGCCGGUAAAACCAGCACCUCAAGUGGUCAGGAUGAUUAUUGGGCCUAAAGCAUCCGUAGCCUGUUCUGUAAGUUUCCGGUUAAAUCCAUUAGCUCAACUAAUGGGCUGCCGAAAAUACUGCAGAACUAGGGAGUGGGAGAGGUAGACGGUACUCGGUAGGAAGGGGUAAAAUCCUUUGAUCUAUUGAUGACCACCAGUGGCGAAGGCGGUCUACCAGAACACGUUCAGACGGUGAGGGAUGAAAGCUGGGGGAGCAAACCGGAUUAGAUACCCGGGUAGUCCCAGCUUGUAAACGAUGCAGACUCGGUGAUGCGCUGGCUUGUGGCCAGUGCAGUGCCGCAGGGAAGCCGUUAAGUUUGCCGCCUGGGAAGUACGUACGCAAGUAUGAAACUUAAAGGAAUUGGCGGGGGAGCACCACAAGGGGUGAAGCCUGCGGUUCAAUUGGAUUCAACGCCGGA